Molecule: ribosomal RNA, 454 nt
Filed under: uncultured bacterium
Lineage: Bacteria
Description: bacterial SSU rRNA
Rfam family: Bacterial small subunit ribosomal RNA
Source: RNAcentral
UACGGGAGGCAGCAGUGGGGAAUAUUGCACAAUGGGCGAAGCCUGAUGCAGCUAUGCCGCGUGUAUGAAGAAGGCCUUAGGGUUGUAAAGUACUUUCAUCGGGGAGGAAAAAACAAAACUAAUAAUUUUAUUUCUUGACGUUACCCGAAAAAGAAGCACCGGCUAACUCCGUGCCAGCAGCCGCGGUAAUACGGAGGGUGCUAGCGUUAAUCAGAAUUACUGGGCGUAAAGAGCACGUAGGUGGUUUUUUUAAGUCAGAUGUGAAAUCCCUGGGCUUAACCUGGAACUGCAUUUUGAAACUGAAAUACUAGAGUAUCGUAGAGGGAGGUAGAAUUCUAGGUGUAGCGGUGAAAUGCGUAGAUAUCUGGAGGAAUACCUGUGCGAAAGCGGCUCCUAAACGAAUACUGACACUGAGGUGCGAAAGCGUGGGGAGCAAAACAGGGAUUUAGAUACC